CACCGGUUAAGCACAGUAUAUCACCCUACUCCUCAUAACAACCUUGUAUGUACUUGAAGACUAUUCUCAUGUCUCCCCUCUGUCUUCUCUUCUCUAGACUAAAAAACACCACUUUUUUCAAUC
Molecule: non-coding RNA, 123 nt
Organism: Chelonoidis abingdonii (Abingdon island giant tortoise)
Lineage: Eukaryota; Metazoa; Chordata; Testudines; Testudinidae
Source: RefSeq, a predicted model, not a curated record